GGCAUCUUUGAGUGCAUUCCUUUUGGCAUCGAAACGUUUACAAUCAACGUGAUUCAACUUGUUGACGGCUGCCGCUUGCAUCCAGAAAUCCAAUGCGAUGACCUCAUCAUUGGACAGCAGUCUUCUGCUGUUCUCUUCGGAUGAUGAGGUCCUGGAGCAGGUCAAGGUCGACAUCGGAUUUCAGAAUCUGUCACAAGACUGGGACAGCUACAUGGAUCCUGUAGAGCACCCACUGAAGGAGCACCAGCUGUCGGAAUUGGAGCCGGCGCCGGCCGAGGUGAAGGAGGAGCCCACGCCGCCGGCGCAGAAGCAGGUGUCGGUGCAGCCGGUGGCCAACUCUGUGCCGGUGUUGGACGGCUGGCCGGGCGUGCAUCAGUUCCAGGUGACGGUGCGCCGGCGGCCCGAGCAGGCCGGCCGCCAGCUGCCCUACGUCUACAGCGCCGACGGCGCGAAGCUGUACACCGACAUGAUGGUGGCCGUGCCGUUCAGCUUCACCUACAGCGGUGUGGCCGACCCGAGCGCGCUGCGCAUCCGCGCGCUGCCCAUCUACCGCGAGUCCCACCACAUCCAGACGCCGGUACGCCGGUGCGCCAUCCACCGCGAGCCGCAGGAUCCGUCCAACGACACCGGACACAUGAUGCACGUGGUGCGGGCCGAUCACCACCACGCCAGCUACCACGUGGAGCAGGAGCGGUGCAGCGUCACCGUGCCGCUGGAGGCGCCCGAGCCCGGCACCGACGACUACCAGGUGCUCUUCAAGUUCGCCUGUAUGAACACCUGCGUGGGCGGCAUCAACCGUCGGCGGCUGAUGCUGGUGCUGACGCUGGAGGAGCGCGCCUCGGGCCGCACACUCGGCAGACAGGCCAUCGAGGUGAAGGUGUGCCGCUGCCCCCACCGCGACUGGCGCGCCGACGAGAAGCGCAAGGGCUCCGAGCAGGCGCAGCCCAAGGCGAGCAAACGGCCGCGCCGCGAGCCGUCCCCGCCGCGACCCUCCAACGGCCAGCAGCAGCUCUACGUGGUGGCGGACGACCCGGCGAUGUACCGAUACCUGGUGGAGGCGCGCGAGUCACUGCUGCGCUACCGGCGCUCGGUGCUGGCCGAGCAGGCGCCGCCGGCACCGCUCAGCCGCCAGGACACGGCGCCAGUCAGGCCCGAAUACCGCUAGACGGCCGACGGCUGGGUGCCGAUGACGGCGACGGAUGGGUGUUGAUGACGGCCACGGCCACGGGUGGGUCAGGGUGCCGAUGACGGCGACGGGCCGCGGACUAGGAGCGAGGAUUGGAGAGGCCAUGAUUACUCCCCCGCACAGAGGUGCUUUGAGUUUUGUUUCUGGAGCGAAAGGUUCAUGGAUGCUGCCACGUAGCACUAAGCUAAUUUAAGUACCGAGCGAAGCAGCUCGGUAACGUAUAGUUGAAAUCAACGAGCUGCACUUACUCGUAGUGGCUGUAUUUUCGAAUGUUUGUUGAUCUUAGUUGCUUGUAAGUCUUUCUUAUGAUGCAUGCUAUGUAAAGAGUGUAAACGCAGUCUGCAGUACUGGGCCGUCGAACUGUACAUACUUUAUCCUUUGCGCGUAGGCAUUGAUUGCUGGUCAGUUUUCCACAUGCAUUGUGUCAAUGCACGCUCGUUACAGAUUUAGAUUCAGCAUUGUGUGGCGGGAAGUGGGGCCAGGUUAGACGCAAACGUUGAGAAUCAGUCGUGGUGCACGUCUUGCGUUUGUAAAGAAACUGUUGAAGCUCGAGGUGAAUGCUGAGGCCUGUGAAUAAACUUUACCUUCUGA
Molecule: unclassified non-coding RNA, 1777 nt
Filed under: Amphibalanus amphitrite
Lineage: Eukaryota; Metazoa; Arthropoda; Thecostraca; Balanomorpha; Balanidae
Description: cellular tumor antigen p53-like, transcript variant X2
Source: RNAcentral